GAUGAACGCUGGCGGCGUGCCUAAUACAUGCCAGUCGAGCGAACAGACGAGGAGCUUGCUCCUCUGACGUUAGCGGCGGACGGGUGAGUAACACGUGCAUAACCUACCUAUAAGACUGGGAUAACUUCGGGAAACCGGAGCUAAUACCGGAUAAUAUAUUGAACCGCAUGGUUCAAUAGUGAAAGACGGUUUUGCUGUCACUUAUAGAUGGAUCCGCGCCGCAUUAGCUAGUUGGUAAGGUAACGGCUUACCAAGGCAACGAUGCGUAGCCGACCUGAGAGGGUGAUCGGCCACACUGGAACUGAGACACGGUCCAGACUCCUACGGGAGGCAGCAGUAGGGAAUCUUCCGCAAUGGGCGAAAGCCUGACGGAGCAACGCCGCGUGAGUGAUGAAGGUCUUCGGAUCGUAAAACUCUGUUAUUAGGGAAGAACAAAUGUGUAAGUAACUAUGCACGUCUUGACGGUACCUAAUCAGAAAGCCACGGCUAACUACGUG
Molecule: ribosomal RNA, 497 nt
Filed under: uncultured bacterium
Lineage: Bacteria
Description: partial 16S ribosomal RNA
Rfam family: Bacterial small subunit ribosomal RNA
Source: RNAcentral